GGGGGUAGUUUUUAGUACGUAAGCGCCAUGGAUGGCGAAUCGUGCACGCUGCUACUAAGAACCAGCAGUAUCUUUUGAAGGCUUUCUACCUCC
This is a non-coding RNA of Glossina pallidipes, 93 nucleotides long. The record is from Rfam. NCBI's taxonomy places the organism in Eukaryota, Metazoa, Arthropoda, Insecta, Diptera, Glossinidae.